RNAcentral lists this long non-coding RNA (731 nucleotides) under Gadus morhua (Atlantic cod). RNAcentral describes it as "lncRNA (ENSGMOG00000034331.1)". The record is from RNAcentral. Lineage: Eukaryota; Metazoa; Chordata; Actinopteri; Gadiformes; Gadidae.
ACAAGGAAAAAUAUCGUUUUUUUAUUUAUUUAUUUUUGCUUUCGAAACCACCCAUUCAAUUAAUUAAAAUAUAAUAUAGCGUAAAAGUAAGAAAUGUGUUUUCAAAUGUGUUUGAAUAACAUUUUUGCGUGCCUCUAAACUGGCCGGCCUUCUGAGACCUACCCUACAAGAGCUACCCCUAAUGAGAAUGCAUCAUCCUUUGUUCCAAGAUCAGCGAGAGCCCUUCCGGUGCUGAUAGGGCUUCGCAGUGUGAGUCAUGUCCAUUUGUAAAUUGGAUUUAGGAGGUCCAUAGGCCUUUGACCCAAAAGUUAUUAGCGAAAAUAAUUAUAGAGUUAACCAGGACACUGAAUUAAAAAAUUGAACGACGAGCACUCAAAGGCCACACCCUGGUGCAAAAAGCAGGCGUGCGCGCACACCACCAGUCUCUCUCUCUCUCCCUCUCUCCUCCAUAACGCUGAGCCCUCCCUCCUCCUGCACACUCACCGCCUGGCUCGCUUCACGUGUGGACGCUCUCCCUCAGCUCUGUGGAAAUCACCGGUAAGGCCUGAUUUAUCUGCCUUGUUUUCUACAUUUCUCUCUCGCUCCUUCUCUCUCUGUCUCUGUCUCUCUCUCUCCCUGUGCAGAUAUAUAUAUAUACAAUAUAUAUAUAUGUAUAGUAUGCCUUUCUCUCAAGCUAUCUGUUUGUCAGUCUGUCUACCUCUCCCUCCAUUUCUGUGUGAUUAUCUUCCCCU